RNAcentral lists this ribosomal RNA (471 nucleotides) under uncultured bacterium. RNAcentral's name for it is "bacterial SSU rRNA". It matches the Rfam family "Bacterial small subunit ribosomal RNA", at positions 28 to 508 of the family's 1533-position model. The record is from RNAcentral.
GACGAACGCUGGCGGCGUGCCUAACACAUGCAAGUCGAGCGAUGAAGUUCUUCGGAACGGAUUAGCGGCGGACGGGUGAGUAACGCGUGAGCAAUCUGCCUUACACAAAGGGAUAGCCUCGGGAAACUGGGAUUAAUACCAUAUGACACUUGGUAAUCGCAUGAGGACCAAGUCAAAGAUUUUAUCGGUGUAAGAUGAGCUCGCGUCUGAUUAGCUAGUUGGUGGGGUAAAGGCCUACCAAGGCGACGAUCAGUAGCCGGCCUGAGAGGGUGAACGGCCACACUGGGACUGAGACACGGCCCAGACUCCUACGGGAGGCAGCAGUGAGGAAUUUUGCGCAAUGGGGGAAACCCUGACGCAGCGACGCCGCGUGGAGGAUGAAGGCCUUCGGGUCGUAAACUCCUGUCAGAGGUGAAGAAUACCCGCAAGGGUUGACGGUAACCUCAGAGGAAGCCCCGGCUAACUACGUGC